GCAAUGAAAAUAUUUUGUGAUUGGAGG
RNAcentral lists this non-coding RNA (27 nucleotides) under Rattus norvegicus (Norway rat). Lineage: Eukaryota; Metazoa; Chordata; Mammalia; Rodentia; Muridae. The record is from RNAcentral.